Molecule: long non-coding RNA, 783 nt
Organism: Prosopis cineraria
Lineage: Eukaryota; Viridiplantae; Streptophyta; Magnoliopsida; Fabales; Fabaceae
Exons: 3
Source: RefSeq, a predicted model, not a curated record
UGAAAACCAGAGGAGCCGAGUCCAUCGGCUCAUUUGAAUUCAGAGAGGAUAAACGUUGUCCAGUGCGCUGUUGUGGUGCUCAUCCGGCUUCACAUUUACCGUCUGAAGAAGGUGUCCUACUUUUGUCACCUGGGUGCACGGUGUUUGCUGAAGAACCCCUUCUUGGUUUCGCUCUAUUUAGGUGGACCUGUCGGAAUAAGCGAGAGAUUCAGGUACAUUAAAAUCUACAGUGUCCGUUCGUGUUUGGCUAACUUAAGUCAAGGCAACUAGUGGCUUCAGAGAACACUAACUUCGACCUACUGUCCUCCACUAAUCCAAGUAAAUGUGAUUGGGGUAUACUAGCGAAGGUAGACCGAAUCUACAGCUGCACAAACCCAGGUGAGUAUUUUGAGGUGGAUUAUGGAUAUCCUAAGCGUCUUAGGUCCUUUGACCUUCUUGUGUUCGACGCUGAGGAACUCGUAUGAAAAUCUGUAUUGUUGGUGGAUAUCUCGUGCGACAAUGCAGAAAUCGUUAGCGAAGACCUUCAAUUGGGCGCAGAGCCAUUCAUCUGACUGGUGUUUGAUAGCGAAGACCUUUGAUUGGGCGAAAAGCCGUUAAUCGAAGUGAUGGCUUUCUGACUUCUUUUGAUUUCUCGCAUUUCUCCAAAAUUUCAGGGUUCUCAACUCCCAGACCUUGCGAAUCGUCCGAGUGAGCCACUACCUAUUUGCCUUUUGCUUUGUGAAAACUUCCAAAAGUUCCCCAGAAUGGAAGCUUCAUCUAAGAAAAUAUGAAAAACUUCCGAAA